UGCUGGGCUUGCUGCAGUGUGGGGACAUCCUUCUUCAGAAGGCUCGGCAGGAGCUGAGUGUGAUGGGGCUUGUUUCAGACCUGGCAGAAUACAGCAGUGGUCCCACUUUGAAUGAGGAUGCAGGGAUGCCCUGAAUCCAGCAGCAUCAGACCUCAACUGACAGGAUCAGCCCUGAGCAACAGUGAGACCGGAGACAUGAAGGCAGUUUGCACCAUCCGCGCCCUCAUCAGCUCUGGAGCCGCAGUACCCUCCUUAGAAAACAUGCUCUACAGCAGAAAUCUGUGUCUUAGCAAGAGCCUGGUGCCAGCUGCAUGGGUGUGAACUUACCCUUCUCUCCCUGACAAUGCAUCAUCCAUCUGUGACACAGACCCCAGUUCCAUAGGCUCUUCCUUUCCCUACCUUUGGCUAUCUGAAAUGAGUCAGUGCUACUUGAGUGUUCCCACAGGAAGCUGCAGGAACAGUCUUGUCUAAGAGUGCAGCUGCACUUGAGGAAGGCAGGAUCCGGCCCACGGAGGCUGACAUAUGGUAAGGCAAUAUAUGUUUCCCAUAUGCAGAUCCAAAACGUCUUCCUACAAGGUGCAGUGUUACAUUGAUUGUAUUACUGGAUUAUCAAAUGAUUAAAGCCAUUAACAAUCCACUCUUGAGCAAUCAACGUAACAAUGUUUAGUUGCCUUGCAGUAACAAUUAAAAGAUGAAGCAAUUUGCAAUAAUUAGGUAGUAGCUGGAAAAAGUAGUC
Long non-coding RNA from Pezoporus occidentalis (night parrot), 736 nucleotides. RefSeq lists it as uncharacterized. NCBI's taxonomy places the organism in Eukaryota, Metazoa, Chordata, Aves, Psittaciformes, Psittacidae. The record is from RefSeq and is a predicted model, not a curated record. The transcript is spliced from 3 exons.